This 101-nucleotide ribosomal RNA is filed under the name Nannospalax galili (Upper Galilee mountains blind mole rat). Lineage: Eukaryota; Metazoa; Chordata; Mammalia; Rodentia; Spalacidae. The record is from RNAcentral.
GUCUAUAAUCAUACCACCCUGCACACGCCCAAGCGCCUCUAAACUGAGAAGCUAAGCAGGGUUGGGCCUGGUUAGGAUUUGGAUGGGAGAAAACAUAGACA